Molecule: ribosomal RNA, 495 nt
Filed under: uncultured bacterium
Lineage: Bacteria
Description: partial 16S ribosomal RNA
Rfam family: Bacterial small subunit ribosomal RNA
Source: RNAcentral
GACGAACGCUGGCGGCGUGCCUAAUACAUGCAAGUCGAACGCUGAAGGAGGAGCUUGCUUCUCUGGAUGAGUUGCGAACGGGUGAGUAACGCGUAGGUAACCUGCCUGGUAGCGGGGGAUAACUAUUGGAAACGAUAGCUAAUACCGCAUAAGAGUAGAUGUUGCAUGACAUUUGCUUAAAAGGUGCAAUUGCAUCACUACCAGAUGGACCUGCGUUGUAUUAGCUAGUUGGUGGGGUAACGGCUCACCAAGGCGACGAUACAUAGCCGACCUGAGAGGGUGAUCGGCCACACUGGGACUGAGACACGGCCCAGACUCCUACGGGAGGCAGCAGUAGGGAAUCUUCGGCAAUGGACGGAAGUCUGACCGAGCAACGCCGCGUGAGUGAAGAAGGGUUUCGGAUCGUAAAGCUCGGUUGUAAGAGAAGAACGAGUGUGAGAGUGGAAAGUUCACACUGUGACGGUAGCUUACCAGAAAGGGACGGCUAACUACGUG